AGAGUUUGAUCAUGGCUCAGAGCGAACGCUGGCGGCAGGCCUAAUACAUGCAAGUCGAACGGCUCUUCGGAGCAGUGGCGGACGGGUGAGUAACGCGUGGGAACGUGCCCUUUGGUUCGGAACAACACAGGGAAACUUGUGCUAAUACCGAAUGUGCCCUUCGGGGGAAAGAUUUAUCGCCAUUGGAGCGGCCCGCGUUGGAUUAGCUAGUUGGUGGGGUAAAGGCCCACCAAGGCUACGAUCCAUAGCUGGUCUGAGAGGAUGAUCAGCCACACUGGGACUGAGACACGGCCCAGACUCCUACGGGAGGCAGCAGUAGGGAAUCUUGCGCAAUGGGCGAAAGCCUGACGCAGCCAUGCCGCGUGAAUGAUGAAGGUCUUAGGAUUGUAAAAUUCUUUCACCGGGGAAGAUAAUGACGGUACCCGGAGAAGAAGCCCCGGCUAACUUCGUGCCAGCAGCCGCGGUAAUACGAAGGGGGCUAGCGUUGCUCGGAAUUACUGGGCGUAAAGGGCGCGUAGGCGGACAUUUAAGUCAGAGGUGAAAGCCCAGGGCUCAACCUUGGAAUUGCCUUUGAUACUGGAUGUCUUGAGUUCGGGAGAGGUGAGUGGAAUGCCGAGUGUAGAGGUGAAAUUCGUAGAUAUUCGGCGGAACACCAGUGGCGAAGGCGACUCACUGGCCCGAUACUGACGCUGAGGCGCGAAAGCGUGGGGAGCGAACAGGAUUAGAUACCCUGGUAGUCCAA
This 742-nucleotide ribosomal RNA is filed under the name uncultured bacterium. RNAcentral's name for it is "bacterial SSU rRNA". It matches the Rfam family "Bacterial small subunit ribosomal RNA", at positions 8 to 798 of the family's 1533-position model. The record is from RNAcentral.